This 27-nucleotide small RNA is filed under the name Bombyx mori (domestic silkworm). RNAcentral's name for it is "ovarian small RNA-25854". Lineage: Eukaryota; Metazoa; Arthropoda; Insecta; Lepidoptera; Bombycidae. The record is from RNAcentral.
UCAUAAACAAAAUGGUUCUGGCUACAA